Molecule: ribosomal RNA, 466 nt
Filed under: uncultured bacterium
Lineage: Bacteria
Description: partial 16S ribosomal RNA
Rfam family: Bacterial small subunit ribosomal RNA
Source: RNAcentral
ACGAACGCUGGCGGCGUGCUUAACCCAUGCAAGUCGAACGGAAAGGCCCUGCUUUUGUGGGGUGCUCGAGUGGCGAACGGGUGAGUAACACGUGAGUAACCUGCCCUUGACUUUGGGAUAACUUCAGGAAACUGGGGCUAAUACCGGAUAGGAGCUCCUGCUGCAUGGUGGGGGUUGGAAAGUUUCGGCGGUUGGGGAUGGACUCGCGGCUUAUCAGCUUGUUGGUGGGGUAGUGGCUUACCAAGGCUUUGACGGGUAGCCGGCCUGAGAGGGUGACCGGCCACAUUGGGACUGAGAUACGGCCCAGACUCAUACGGGAGGCAGCAGUGGGGAAUAUUGCACAAUGGGCGGAAGCCUGAUGCAGCAACGCCGCGUGCGGGAUGACGGCCUUCGGGUUGUAAACCGCUUUCGCCUGUGACGAAGCGUGAGUGACGGUAAUGGGUAAAGAAGCACCGGCUAACUACGU